Molecule: small RNA, 464 nt
Filed under: Malus domestica (apple)
Lineage: Eukaryota; Viridiplantae; Streptophyta; Magnoliopsida; Rosales; Rosaceae
Description: sRNA MD15G0064300
Source: RNAcentral
UCCACACUGAUUGUAUUUCUCUGAGAGUAUUUGUGAGGGAGAGAGUAUGAGAGCUUUUGCUAGAGGCUUAGGGUUUGUUAGGGUGAGGAGACCCUUUUAUAAAAUAAGGGCUCAUCUUCUAAUUACAUAUUUGCCCCUUCCUUUAUUACAUAAUUACAUUUAAGUCCCUCGAGUAUUUAUACGAGGUCUAAAUACGAGGCCCUAAAUAUGGUAUAAACAAAUCCUAAUUUUUUUCUCUUUGCAAGACAAAAAACUACCAGGGAAGGAAGAGACUGUUAGGAAAGUAAAACCCAGACCGAAGAAGACAAGCAAUGGUGGAAGAACCAAGGCUCACUAACAAUAUCAUCGCUCUUUCCAUUCCUUUAUUUUUUGAUGAGGGAUUUGCAUAUUGCUAAAAGAGAGGAAGACAUUGGCUACUGUGCUGGAUAUGUAGAUGCUUGGCAGAGUCCUGACAUCAAUUUUUU